AACGAACGCUGGCGGCAUGCCUAACACAUGCAAGUCGAACGAGACCUUCGGGUCUAGUGGCGAACGGGUGCGUAACGCGUGGGAACCUGCCCUUAGGUUCGGAAUAACUCCCCGAAAGGGGUGCUAAUAACGGAUAAUGUCUUCGGACCAAAGAGUUAUCGCAUUUGGAUGGGCCCGCGUUGGAUUAGCUAGUUGGUAGGGUAAAAGCCUACCAAGGCGACGAUCCAUAGCUGGUCGGAGAGGAUGAUCAGCCACACUGGGACUGAGACACGGCCCAGACUCGUACGGGAGGCAGCAGUGGGGAAUAUUGGAGAAUGGGCGUAAGCCUGAUCCAGCAAUGCCGCGUGAGUGAUGAAGGCCUUAGGGUUGUAAAGCGCUUUUACCCGGGAUGAUAAUGACAGUACCGGGAGAAGAAGCUCCGGCUAACUCCGUG
RNAcentral lists this ribosomal RNA (433 nucleotides) under uncultured bacterium. RNAcentral's name for it is "partial 16S ribosomal RNA". It matches the Rfam family "Bacterial small subunit ribosomal RNA", at positions 29 to 507 of the family's 1533-position model. The record is from RNAcentral.